This 443-nucleotide long non-coding RNA is filed under the name Serinus canaria (Common canary). Its description in RNAcentral is "lncRNA (ENSSCAG00000000930.1)". The record is from RNAcentral. Lineage: Eukaryota; Metazoa; Chordata; Aves; Passeriformes; Fringillidae.
CUGCUGUGGUUGCCUUCCCUGCAAAGCUUGUUUGUGAUGCUCAUCUCUGAAAGAUGCAUAGUAUCUGCCUGCCUUCAAAUUAAAAAAAGAAUCAAAAAAAAGAAUGUAUGAACAGCAGGUAGACUGGUCAGCAGUGAUUCACUCCCUGGCAGCCAUGAUGAGAGCACCACGAGCUCAAUUCAGCCCUGCUGGAGGUGACUAUUUCUCCUUUUCCUUUCACGGUAUUGCACCUACGUUACACCAGCGAGAACGAACCCUUCCACAGCAAUACCAACCUCAGGGGUCUCCUAGCACUUCUCCACCUGCCUUGGAAGGACAGACAGCCUCUCCCAACUGCCCACAGGUGGAAACAAGCUGCAAGCCCUCCAUGCUGGUCUUUUGCAAUAGCAAGCUCUGGCACAGAGGGGGAAGGAAGAUGCUCAGACUCCAAACUGGUCUCUAAU